Molecule: ribosomal RNA, 441 nt
Filed under: uncultured bacterium
Lineage: Bacteria
Description: partial 16S ribosomal RNA
Rfam family: Bacterial small subunit ribosomal RNA
Source: RNAcentral
CCUACGGGGGGCAGCAGUCGAGAAUCAUUCACAAUGGGGGAAACCCUGAUGCAGCGACGCCGCGUGAGUGAAGAAGUAUUUCGGUAUGUAAAGCUCUAUCAGCAGGGAAGCAAAAAGACGGUACCUUACUCAGAAGCCCCGGCUAACUACGUGCCAGCAGCCGCGGUAAUACGUAGGGGGCAAGCUUGAUCCGGGUUUACUGGGUGUAAAGGGAGCGUAGACGGUAUGGCAAGUCUGAAGUGAAAGCCCAGGGCUUAACCCUGGGACUGCUUUGGAAACUGUUAGACUAGAGUGCGGGAGAGGUAAGUGGAAUGCCUGGUGUAGCGGUGAAAUGCGUAGAUAUUAGGAAGAACACCAGUGGCGAAGGCGGCUUACUGGACAGUAACUGACGUUGAGGCUCGAAAGCGUGGGGAGCAAACAGGAUUAGAUACCCUGGUAGUC